RNA transcript from Cryptomeria japonica (Japanese cedar), 1072 nucleotides. RefSeq lists it as uncharacterized. The record is from RefSeq and is a predicted model, not a curated record. NCBI's taxonomy places the organism in Eukaryota, Viridiplantae, Streptophyta, Pinopsida, Cupressales, Cupressaceae. The transcript is spliced from 2 exons.
UAUAUCAGGAAGCCUCCACUCCAUUAUUUUAGAACGAAGUCCCCACACGAAACCCUUAACUGGAUUUCACUUAAAGCCAAGCAUUCGGGCACAUCCUUCAAUUUCACUCCAAGACCCAAUUGAGUCUCGUCUCGUGGACUUUUGCAUUUAUUCAGUUGAGAAACAGACAUACAAAUCAACCAAUGAAUCAGCAGCCUUUUGACAUCACAAGUACUAAAAUUCAAAGUAAUUAGAGGACAUAGAUCCACUGUAAAACUUGCUUUUAACCACCUUCCAGCUAUUAACAUCUAGAAAUAGCCGUUUGGAUUACAUGCUGUCAGUUUGUUCCUUAAACAAGUAAUAAUAAUAUAAUUGAGUCUGCAUAAAUUACAGUCAAUUGACCCACUUAUGAAUAGGUCGAGUGGUCAUAACCCAAUUCAUUCUACAAUCGAAGGGCAGAUCUUUUCCUUCAUUCAGCUGAUUCCUCUGUUGACGUCUUAUAUUGAAAUAUUGAUCCUAAAUGGAAGCUUCAAAGUUCUCAUUCAGUAUAUGGCCUCCUAGUGAAAGAACUAGGGCUGCAGUGGUAGAGCGUAUGGAAAAAACACUCUCAUCCACUUCUAUACUUUCUAAGAAAUAUGGUCUGUUUGAUACUGAAGAAGCAUACGCUAUUGCAAAGAGAAUAGAAGAAGAGGCAUUCACAGCUGCUCAAGAUUUUGCAACUUCAGAAUCUGGCGACAGUGGGACUGGGAGCCAUGUAUUGCAGUUCUAUUCAAAGGAGAUUAGUAAGCACAUGUUAGAUGCUGCUAAAAAUCAUGCUUCAAAUAAAAAUCCAAAUAAGGAUAAUCAAAAUUCUUCUUCAGAGGAAGCUUCCAGUCCUGGCACUUAGCUACUGAUAGUUGAUUUGCAUGCCCUACUCUACCUUGUAUUCUGUGGUCAUGUGUUGUGCAAGUGUAAUAUUCAGCAGUUGGGUAAAUAUUUUAUCUUUACCCCAAGAAUUAUAUGCCUUUUGGACAUUAUAGGUUUAUUAUCUACCGUUUUUCUCUUUGUUUAAUUUGUAUUUAUUUUGUGGUUUAUGAGAUGAAUAUUUCAGUUU